RNAcentral lists this long non-coding RNA (374 nucleotides) under Mytilus galloprovincialis (Mediterranean mussel). Lineage: Eukaryota; Metazoa; Mollusca; Bivalvia; Mytilida; Mytilidae. The record is from RNAcentral.
AUAUUGAAUAACGCCAAACCUGAGAAUACUUUAAUAGCAGUCACAGAACUACAACCGCAUGAAGGAUUAUACCCAUUUCAUCUUUAAUAACCUAAACUGUACAACUUUUGAUCCUUUAAUUCUCAUAAAAAAUAUUUUUGAUCGAUGAAAGUCAGAUUUCCGGUAUUGAUAUGCUAGUAUGAUAAAGUGUUCAUUUUAUAUCCUCAUAGUUCUCGUACAUAUGGAAAAUAAUAAUUUCAAGCUGGGUUUGAUUUUGAUAAGAAUUAUUUGACAAUUCAAGAUACGUUUAUAGCAUUUGUUUAUGUUACUAUUUUCAAUAGGUGACAUGUUUAUGGCCUAAUUAACACCUUUGAUGGUCUUUAAUCUGUUGAUCA